RNAcentral lists this long non-coding RNA (1595 nucleotides) under Monodelphis domestica (gray short-tailed opossum). RNAcentral's name for it is "lncRNA (ENSMODG00000045519.1)". Lineage: Eukaryota; Metazoa; Chordata; Mammalia; Didelphimorphia; Didelphidae. The record is from RNAcentral.
AAUUCCUUGGGUUCCCUCUUCCUUCUAGAUGCUGCUGUUGUUCUUGACACUUGCCCUCUUUGGAGGCUCAAUCAAUGGAUUGUUUCAGCAGCACCAUCAGCAGCAACAGCAACAACAACAGCAACAGCAGGUCCAACAACAGCAGGUCCAACAACAGCAUCAAAGUCCCACUAUUGGGUCACAACAACAUCUAGGAUUCAAUUUUUUAAUGUAUAAAGAUGGGGAACCAAUCUCUGGAAUCCGGGUCCAUUUUGGAAAAUCAGGUGACUUGACUAGUCUACAGGCGCUUUUCGGAACUUCAUGGAGCUCAAGAUUUGGCAUCCCCAAGGGCUCUACCCAGGAAAUCCUCUUGAAGAAAGAUGAGUUCAUCGGCAAAGUGACUGGCAGUAAUGAUAAAUUAGGGUGCAUCCGUUAUAUCAGCUUCGAAACAAACCAAGGCAGGAAGCUUAAGUUUGGAAAAGUUGGCAAGAAUAUUUUCAAGGAAUUCUCCAGUACAGAUGGGGCUGUAUUGAAUUCAAUCGCUGGAAUGUAUCGGCCAGGAUGCAUAGCAGGCCUUUCAUUUAACUGGGAGUCCAUAAAGACAGCACAUGUCGCUACUACUGAAAAGCCAGCGCAACUCGCUGCCAGCCAUACUACUCAAAAGCCAGCACAUGUCGCUACUACUCAAAAGCCAGCACAUGUCGCUACUACUCAAAAGCCAGCACAUGUCGCUAAACCUACUACUCAAAAGCCAGCACAUGUCGCUAAACCUACUACUCAAAAGCCAGCACAUGUUGCUAAACCUACUACUCAAAAGCCAGCACAUGUCGCUAAACCUACUACUCAAGAGUCAGUUAAGCCAUUCGCUAAGGGAUAUGAUCCACAAAGAAAUUAAGGGGCAGUCAUUCAGUCAACUACUUAGCCACAGGUAUCUAAUCAAUCCAACUCAUUGGACAGGUAUCCAAAGGACAACUUUUCAGAGCCCAAGCUACAGCCAAAAAGUGGUAAUAAUUCAAACAAGAGCCAUGAUUUUCCCCCAUUACACCCACCACCCAAGGAUAGAGGGAGAUAGCAUUGAUAAUUCAAAUUAUCCCUGCCAUGGUUAUAGACCUGAUACUUUAAAUGAUAUAGGACCUGGCUGUAAUGGUCACCCUUCAUCUUACCCUGCAGCUAGCUGCAAUCAUGAUUCCCCAAAUUCUCUAGGUCUUUUCACAACCUUGACUCAGCAUAAGCUCCAGAGAAAAUCAAUGACUCAUCAAAGAAUUCAGUGAAAGUCCCUGUAUCCUGAAUCAAGCCAAUCAUUUAGGCAGAGAUUAAACAUAUCAGAUAAUGUAUACACUUCUCAGAGAAUUAGACUGAAAAACCUAUUUCCAGGGAUUGGAUUAGAUUCAACUGGGCUGAGGAAGUAGACAAGGAAGAAAAAGUUCAAAGGAAAACAUUAUGAAACUGAUUUUUGUUUAUAAAAUAUAUAAAAGAAGAUGUUUAGGUAUAUGAUUUAGGUGGAAGGACAUAGAAUAUAAUGUUGCCGAGAAGAGCUAAAACCCUUUUGAUUAAAAAAAUAAUUAUAUUCUCAAUCUCUUAAUAAAGCUUUUGCAAAACCAUGAUGAGGUCUUUGG